RNAcentral lists this ribosomal RNA (857 nucleotides) under Aculus sp. ZJ269. RNAcentral describes it as "partial large subunit ribosomal RNA". It matches the Rfam family "Eukaryotic large subunit ribosomal RNA", at positions 366 to 944 of the family's 3401-position model. The record is from RNAcentral. Lineage: Eukaryota; Metazoa; Arthropoda; Arachnida; Trombidiformes; Eriophyidae.
AAAUAGAACUUUGUAGAGAGAGUUAACAGGGCGUGAAACCGUUAAUUGGCAAACGAAUCGGAGCCACGAAGUCGUUUCGCUGAUAGUGAGGCCUUGCUCAGCGGGGAAACAAAAAUUUUCCCGUGUAAUCCUGGCCUUGCCAUCCUUGUAAGCGUACACUGCAACCAGUUAGACAAUUGAUGAUGGAAACAGUCGCUCGAGUUAGAAGUAGCACGGCGACUCUCGGGUUGUUGUGUUGCUGGGCUCGUGGCAAGUGAACUAUCGUCAAAUACUGACUGGCAAAAUGAAAAUCACCCUGUCGGGUGUUUCCAUAAAAUGCGGUUUGCAUCAUGUGUGUCUACGUGCACGACCAUGCGGUUUUAAGCUCAACAUUUUUGAAUUUGGACUUGCUGGCUAUCAAUGGGGCAACUCUUGAUGCCAGUAUAGCCUCCAUCUAAUCGGGUGUUGACUUGAUCAUAUGUUGUUCGGGUACGAAUCGUUUGGGCGCGCAUGAAAGUAAAUUCGCCAUUAUUGGCAGUGAGUAGGUCGGCUUUCCGAACGACCCGUCUUGAAACACGGAAGGAGUCUAAUUAGGUAUCGAGUCGAUCGGUCUUGAAUAGGCCAGAUAGAUUGAGUUGCUCAGUCGAAGGCGUAGAGACGUGUGAUCGUGGGAUGAACUAAUUCUAACGCGCAACAUGUGCCUGUUCGUAUGUCAAUGUGCAAGAUUGACGGCGGAGUAAAGAGAUACCUGAUUGGUACCCGAAAGAUGGUGAUGCUUGGGCAAAUUGAAGCCAGAGGAAACUCUGGUGGAGGAUUUAGUCUGACGUGCAAAUCGAUCGUCAGCCUGAGUAUAGGGGCGAAAGACUAAUCGAACCAUC